CCUUUCGCUUUCCACUAUGAUUAUGAGGCAUCACUAGCCACAUGGAACUGGAGUAGAGAGGCCUGAGAAGAGGGAGAGAGAUGGGGGAACCGCUGGUCAUUGGAACAGUCAGAACACACACAACAUUAAUCAUUUAAGUUUGCCAUCUUAUACGGGAGUGGUUGUGGUGCCUCUAAACAUAACAAGAACAAUAUCCCAGAUCACUGAUCCCAGAUCACCAUAACAGAUAUAAUAAUGAUGAAAAAGUUUAAGCUAUUGUGAAGAUUACCAAAAUGUGAUGCAUGGACACGAAGUGAGCACAUGCUAUUGGAAAAAUGAUGCCAACAGAUGUGCUUGAUGUGGAGUUGCCACAAACCUUCCAUUUGUACAGAAAAUACAAUAUCUGCAAAGCUCUGUAGAAUGCAGUGUGCCUGUAUGUGGUUGCUGAUCUGCUGACCUGCCCCAUGGGUAUGAAACAGCAGCCACACCUGCAAUGACUCUACCUUCCCAUGGAUCCUCCUUUCAUUGUCCUACUCCUAGGCUAAGCCUGUGCAUUCAGCUUUGUAAUGAAGAGACCUGGCUUCUAGAGGAUAACCUCAUCACUAAGGUCAGAGGCAACAAGAACUGGCCUGAGUUUCAGUCCCCUUUCGUGAGGUUCCAGUUCAUGCUUGUGAGUUUUUACUUAACUUUGAUCUCCCCCAACGUAUACCCACAAUCUCCUUCCCAACUGCCUGCCCAACCUCAAGCUCCAGCCCAGGACCAAGAGAUAAGAACCUUACAGGGACUGCUUUACCAGCUCUGACAGUUGUGGAAAGCCAGUUUUCUGUAACAAAUCAAAAAUUCUCAUCAGGACCUCAGGAAGAAGUCCAGGCCAAGGAUUCUCCUAAGUGUUCUUAGCUAUUGCCUACUUCUAUUUUACAUAACUGGCUUCGUGGUCCAGGAAUGCUUCUUUUUCUCGACAAUCACCAAACUGAAGUGCUACGAGGAAGACUGUUACCCUGAGGUCUAAUGCAUGUGUCUCUGAGAAUAAGACAAUUUUUCUUAGAGAAAUGGAGCAAUCACACAUGGAGCCCACUGAAGUUCAACCUUCUCUUGUAUAAUCACAUGCACUUGCCAGCCCAUGUAGUCAAGCCUGUCUACCCUUGUGAUUUUCUACAGAUAAAUGAGUAGGUCAUUCUCUUCUUUACCGUGUUUAUCUACAAGGGUACCAUCAUGAUAGAAAAGAUGAAAGUGGGACACAAAUAUGGAAGCAUCCAUUCACACUGCUCACCCAUAAGAGAUGGUGGUAAGUCCUCAAGGCAGUUUCUUUUUUUAACACAUGAACAUAUGGUCCCUGUAUCAUCUCAGGUCAUGUCACCCCUGUGGGGUAUUGAAUCCCUGCUGUUUGUUUAUGCCUUAUAACAUUUAUAUGUUCAGCUUCAGUGUGUGAAUUGUGUUCAGGAAAAUGCAUGCUUUAACACUAGAGGCAUAGAUGCAGCAUGCUAAGAGGACACUCUGCUUUCAAACAUGUGCACUCCUUUGACUAUGGAGCUCUCUAUAAGAAGCUACUGACUUGCUCCUUCCAUUGUACAGAGGAUCUCCAAUCCUUCCCUCCAGCUGAAAGCUGCUGUAUGUGCUAUUAGUCCCUUGCUCUCCUCCAAUGGCCAACUUCACAUUUGCAACAGUCUUCUUUCACAUAGUAUUUUAAAUGUCUCCUGUAGUCUGGGCCAACUCUGUAUAAUAACACUUGAAGGAAAAAAGAUGUAUAGAAAAGAAGAAAAUAAAACCCACAGAGCUACCUUAAAUUCCCAAGAAAUCAGAAAAUGUCCGUUUUCCAUAUAAAUAGCUAUAAAACCCCAGGAGCCACAAUUACCCUGCAGACCUGUAUGUCAUUUGCUGGACCACAAUAUUUUUCACUCUUACUGAACCCUCUUUCUUAAAGAUAAAUUUUUCUGUUGAUAAAGACAUGAGUUAUUUAUCCAAAGUCUUUUUCAGAAAAACACUUUAUCUUCAGGAGUUAGAGAAAAUCCUAGGUAAUUCUACCGUAACAUACCUUUUACUCCACCGCCCGCUCACCAGCC
This 2039-nucleotide long non-coding RNA is filed under the name Homo sapiens (human). RNAcentral describes it as "HSALNT0244710". The record is from RNAcentral. Lineage: Eukaryota; Metazoa; Chordata; Mammalia; Primates; Hominidae.